UGAGGAAUAUUGGUCAAUGGUCGAGAGACUGAACCAGCCAAGUCGCGUGAAGGAUGGCUGCCCUAUGGGUUGUAAACUUCUUUUACAAGGGAAUAAAAUGAGAUACGUGUAUUUUAUUGCAUGUACCUUGUGAAUAAGCAUCGGCUAACUCCGUGCCAGCAGCCGCGGUAAUACGGAGGAUGCGAGCGUUAUCCGGAUUUAUUGGGUUUAAAGGGUGCGUAGGUGGGCUGUUAAGUCAGCGGUGAAAGUUUGUCGCUUAACGAUAAAAUUGCCGUUGAAACUGGUAGUCUUGAGUAUAGAUGAAGUAGGCGGAAUGCGUGGUGUAGCGGUGAAAUGCAUAGAGAUCACGCAGAACUCCGAUUGCGAAGGCAGCUUACUAAGGUAUAACUGACACUGAAGCACGAAAGCGUGGGUAUCAAACAGG
This 424-nucleotide ribosomal RNA is filed under the name Fusobacteriota bacterium. Its description in RNAcentral is "Fusobacteria bacterium partial 16S ribosomal RNA". It matches the Rfam family "Bacterial small subunit ribosomal RNA", at positions 355 to 776 of the family's 1533-position model. The record is from RNAcentral. Lineage: Bacteria; Fusobacteriati; Fusobacteriota.